Molecule: ribosomal RNA, 292 nt
Filed under: uncultured bacterium
Lineage: Bacteria
Description: partial 16S ribosomal RNA
Source: RNAcentral
GGACUACAAGGGUAUCUAAUCCCGUUCGCUCCCCUAGCUUUCGCCCCUGAGCGUCAGAAACGAGCCAGGACACUGCCUUCGCCUUUGGUGUUCUUCCGGAUCUCUACGCAUUUCACUGCUCCACCCGGAGUUCCAUGUCCCUCUCUCGCUCUCAAGUCCACCAGUUUUUGCAGCACUCUCCUGGUUAAGCCAGGAGCUGUCACCCCAAACUUGGCGAACCGCCUGCGGGCCCUUUACGCCCAAUAAAUCCGGACAACGCUCGCCCCCUACGUAUUACCGCGGCUGCUGGCAC